GGCGGAGUAGCUCAGUUGGUUAGAGCAGCGGAAUCAUAAUCCGCGUGACGGGAGUUCAAAUCUCUCCUCCGCUACCA
This 77-nucleotide transfer RNA is filed under the name Hyphomicrobiales bacterium. RNAcentral's name for it is "tRNA-Met". It matches the Rfam family "tRNA". From Rfam's summary of the family: Transfer RNA (tRNA) molecules are approximately 80 nucleotides in length. Their secondary structure includes four short double-helical elements and three loops (D, anti-codon, and T loops). Lineage: Bacteria; Pseudomonadati; Pseudomonadota; Alphaproteobacteria; Hyphomicrobiales. The record is from RNAcentral.